UAAAAAUAAAACAUGGGAUACUUAAAGGGUUUGAGAAGCCCGCAAAAACAAAAAUAGAAAAUGAAGCCUAAAUGAAUGCAGAAAUAGAAUCGUCAUUUCCCAGUCAAAUCAAACAGUCUGGCCUCCAUUAUUUUCCAACUUUUCAUUUCAUAAACGCUAGGCUUUUCAGAUGAUAGCAAUUUCAAAGAAAUCUUAUGCUUUAGCUAUCUUUUUCCGUUUCAUUUCCUCUUCAUCAACUUCCUUCAAUCAGAAUUUUGUGGCCAUCUCCCUCUUAGAUCCGGUGUUCUUCUCUCGUCUCUCCCACCAGGUAUCUUUCUUCCCCUUUUCUUAAUGCCUCUUUCGUUAGGUAUGUGCUUCAACGUUCUCUGUUCUUUGGAUGAAUCGAAAAACAUUUUUUUUGGAAUCGGGUUUUGUUGCUCUGAAUAUCAUCAAUAAUUGCUCCUAGAAUCGAUUUAUCUCUAGCUUUUGUUUUGCAUUUGUUGAUUAUUGUUUUCGAAUCCCCCAUCAUCGUGACUGAGUUUAAGCCCAUGCUUAUGCCUAAUUUGGUUGCCUCUAAACAUGCUAAUGCUUCUGCUACAAAUGGAGAGGAAACGUUGGAGUGAAGAGUAGACUUUGAGACUGUGAUUUCCCCAUUCUGACCUCGGGCUACCAUUCCUGACGCUGAUCUAGAGUUGUUGAUAUCAAAAGCUGCAUCAAACUGUAUAGACUCCCGUAGCUCCACCUCUCUUUGUUCGGAUCUAACGGCCGUAGAGGUAAGUUUUCUUUCUCGCACUCCUUCAAGCUCUAUUAGAUAACUCUGUAUUUUAAAAGCUAGAUCCCUUCCUGAUGUAUACUUCCUCUUGUGGAUCAUUUGAUUUCUCGAGCUCCAGAUAACCCAUAAGGCACAAAAAAAUACUCAGAUCUACUCCUUUGUACCUCUGCUGAAUACCCAGGUGAGCCAUGCCCAUACACUCUGAUCUGCAUGUUCUGUUACCCAUGACAUAUUGAGACUGAUCUAUGCAUCCGUGCUUAUAGGACAUUGCCUAAACACAUGGAAGCUAUCUUCUUCUGCAGAACAGUAUCGUGGACACCUUACAUUAGUGGUCACUCUCUUAUAUCUGAUAUUAACUAGUGAAGGGAUGUAGUUCCAGGAAAUUCGCCAUAUGAGAAUUAGGAUUUUUGUUAGUAAUUGUAAAUUCCAUAAUUUUCUGUAGAAAUCUUUAGUUUCGACCUGUAUUAAAUAGUUAUAAUGAUCCAAGCUAGCUUCUUAUAAUAGUUUGUAGGCACUUCUAACUGUAAAUUCUCCGGAGAGUUCCCCUUUCCACACUUUCAUGUCUUCACAAUCCGUUUUCGCAAGAGGAAUUUGCAGUAUUUUUUGAGAAAUUUCCUUUUGAAAGGUAGUCGAAAUUAACUUUCUUCCACUUCUUGUUUAUGUUAUCAAUAAGAUCAGAAACCACAGCUAACUAACCAUUGUCUCUUUUAUUUUGCCACAUCUCAAGUUCCAUCCCUAGUAUCCAACGAUCAUCCCAUAUAGAUAUUGCGUCUCCUCUCUCGACUCUCCAGAUGAGACCAUCAAGAAGGAGUCCUUUCACUGCCCAAAUACUUCUCUAGGUAAGAGAUGGUAAGUUUCCCAACUGUGAAUUUAGGAAACUGGAUCUUGGGUAAUAUUUAGCUUUAAGUACUCUGGCUAAAAGUGAAUUUGGGUUAUUAAACAAUCGCCAACCCUGCUUGGCUAACAAUGCGAUAUUAAACUUAUUAAAAUUACGAAAACCCAACCCGUCGUUUUCCUUUAAAUAGCAAAGGUUUUUCCAAGAGCACCAAUAGAUUCCCUUUUUUCCUUGAUUCUUUUGCCACCAAUAUCUCGCAACAAUACUCUCCAUUUCUUCACAUAGUGACUUCGGAAGUAGAAAACAAACCAUUGAGUAUGUCGGUAUGGCUUGUAGCACUGCCUUUAUGAAUAUCUCUUUUCCACCUUGCGAUAAAAAACGAGUACUCCAAUUUUCUAUCUGUUGUUCCAAUCUGUCUUUUAAGGCUUGAAAAGAUUGCUUCUUUUUUCGACCUACCAUGUUUGGCAAGCCCAAGUAUCUUUCUGGCUCAUUUGAACUUCGAACUCCCAAUAAAUUGACGAUUAGAUGUCUUUCCUCUUCAAUUAUAUUUUUGCUAAAGAAGACGGUCGAUUUGGAAAAAUUCACACAUUGACCCGAACAUCUUUUAUACCCGCUAAGAAUUUCCUUGAGUACAAAGGCUCCUUUCCUCGAUGCUUCUCCAAAUAAAAUGCAAUCAUCCGUAAAUAGUAAAUGUGUUACCUGUGGACCACUUCUGGUUGCCUUGACUCCCUUUAGAAGACCUUCUCUAGCGUUUAUUCUCAUUAGACUAGAUAGUCCUUCUCCACAUAUUAAGAAGAGAAACGGGCUCAAAGGAUCGCCUUGUCGAAGCCCUCUUGUUGGACGGAAAGUUCUUCCAACACUUACAUUGAGCACUACUUGAUAAGAAACUGUAGACAUGAAAUUCAUGAUAGAGGUGACCCAUUUUUGAUCAAAUCCCAUCCGCAGCAUUGUUUCCUUAAUAAAUCUCCAUUCAACUCUGUCAUAAGCUUUGCUUAUGUCAAGCUUAACCGCCAUGUAUCCCUUUUUCCCCAUUCUUUUUUGUUUAAGUGUGUGCAAUAACUCAUAAGCGAGCAAAAUAUUAUCUGAGAUUAAUUUACCUGGUACGAAGGCACUUUGCGCACUGUCAAUGCAUUUGUCUAUGACACCUCUAAAUCUGUUUGCUAUUGCUUUAGUCAUGAUUUUAUAAAUAACAUUGCAUAAGCUAAUAGGCCUAAAAUGGGUCAUAUUAGAGGGGUUUUUGAUUUUUGGGAUAAGAACAAUAUAAGUUGAGUUAAUUUGACUGACCUCCAUUUCUCCAUUGAUGAGGUGUAGGCAAAAAGCAGCCACCUCAUCUCCUAUAAAGUGCUAACAUUUCUGGUAAAAAAGAGCAGGGAAUCCAUCUUUGCGAGGUGCCUUCGUGGGAUGCAUUUCAAAUAAGGCCUCUCUCACUUCUUCUUUUGUAUAAUUCGCUAUAAGUUUCCUGUUAUCGUCCUCUGAGAUACACCGAUCAAUUCCCGAGAGUAGACGUUCAUAAUUCAUUUGAUUUUCUAAAGAGAACAGAUUUUGAAAAUAGAAUUGUACAAUACCUUUCAUCUCCUGAAUAUCAUUCGUUUCCUGCCCGCUGCUGUUUUGUAGCUUGCUUAUCAAAUUCUUCUUUCUUCUUUGUGUUACUUGACUGUGAAAAAAGGCUGUAUUCCUGUUUCCAAGUUUUAGCCAAUUUAGUCUAGCUCGGUGUUCCCAAUAAGUUUAAUCUUUUUCAAUUUCGAAGUUAAGCUGGAUCUUUGUGUCAAUCAUCUCAGCUAGAUUAGAAUUAUCCCUUUCAGCUUCAAUCAAUGUUGAUAGUUUGGCUGUGAGAAAUUCUUUUCUCCCCUGUUUAUUUCUUUGCACCUGUUUCGCCCAGUUUACAAACCCUUUCUUAAAAGUUUCCAUUUUCUUCAGAAAUUCUCCAGACACCAUCCCCCAUAAAUGUUUAGCUUCAUCGAAAAAUGAGUCUUCCACGAUCCAUGAGGCUUCAAAUUUGAAUUGAUUUGCUUUUUCCCAUUGGUCUUCCUUAUUUGUGUUGACGAAAAUAGGACAAUAAUCAAAAAAAGAGUGUACAAGUGUUCAACUCAUACCGCAGGAAACAUGGAAAUCCAAUUCUUAUUAGCGACACCCCUAUCCAGACGCUCUUGAAUGUUCGUUUCUGGUAAGUUUCCUCUCUCCUAAGUGAACCAUCUACCAGAGUAUCCCACAUUGGAUAGUUGGCAAAAAUCUAAAGCUUCUCGGAACAACUCCAUUCUUCUUUCAUCUCUUGGCAAGCCUCUCUUUUUUUUUUCGAAUUCAUACAUUAUUUCAUUAAAAUCUCCACAGACAAGCCAAGGGGUGUAUUCCUUUUUAUGGAGAUUUUUCAAAACAGUCCAUAAAGCUUCUCUAUCUUGCGCAUAUGGAGUUCUAUAAAAGCCAGUAAAGCGCCAUUUGACAUCUCUUUCAUCAUCAUCCACCACCAUGUCAAUGUGUCUUUUAGAGAAAUUCUAAAGCGUAACAUUGAUAUUAUUUUGCCAUGCUAGACACAAACCUUCUCUAGAGCCCUUCGAAUCAACAUCAAUUCCAUUCCCAAAUCCACAUCUUCGUCUAAUUCUUUCCAUUCGGUUUCUGCAAAGCUUAGUAUCCAUAAAGAAGACAAUUUGGGGAUUAUAAGUCCUCAGCGUAUGCUGAAGCCUUCGAACUAUCCGUAGACUCCCCAAUCCACGGACAUUCUAACUCAGUAUUUUUAUUGCUUCCGGUCGGCUUGCCAUUUGGUAGCCGCCGAUGAUAAAUGAUUAGGAUCCACCAUUCUCCAAUUUGCCAAUAUGUUUCUCAUUUCUUCUCUCCCUGUUAUAUCUUCAUUUUCCCCUCUAGGCCUUUUCGUCCCCUUUUUCCCUACUAGAGCUACAUCUUCUAGAUCCCUGAUCCAUUACAUUAGGGGUUAAAUUCUCCUUUCCUCGUACCGCGUAUAAUGAACCUCCCUCCAAAUUAAAGCCAAGAACUGGAUCAACAGAUUUCCCAUAUUUUAUUUUUCACCCCGGGUGCUUCUGGCCCAUUUUGAGACCUCCAAAUUCUGCAUCAGUUCCUCUGUUAUCGCCAUCUCCUUCCUCCCUUAGCUAGAUAUUGUUUAUUGAUAAUGACUUCCGUGAUUGUGCUCGGAUAGAUAAGUCCUAGCCCAUUUCUGCAAUUUCCAUUCCAAGGUUCAUUUUUGCCUCGCAAAAAAAGUCAUUAUGCUCCAGUCUUCCACAAUAGAAACAGAACAAAGAUAAACGUUCAUAUUUAAAGGUGACAUAUGAACAUUUUCCACCAAAUGAUAUUUUCUUCCUCCUUUUCAAAGGACGCCUUAUGUCGAUUUGAACUCUAAUUCUCAUAAAGUUCUUGUUUUCUUUUCCCAAAUAUGAUACAUCAUGUUCUAUGAAAUUCCCCAAGAAAUUACCUAACUGGGCAGCCAGGAUUUCAGAAAAAAGGCCAAUAGGGACAUCAUGAACCUAAACCCAAAAAGGUAUCAGAACUAGAGGGAGUUGUAGUGGAUCCUCCCCUAAUUCCAAUUUGUAAAGCACCAGCAGAUGGUUAUUAAUGGUCCAAGGCGAACAUUUCAAAACCCUGUUCAUAUCCAUGACAUGAAAGAACUGAAACAAAUACCUUUUUUCUCCCAGAUCACAGAUUCGUACUCCCUUAACCGGAUGCUACAGAUUCGCCAUUGUACUUUUCAUUGCUGGGAAGUGGAUCGUGCUUGCUGUGAGAAAACAUCCUACUAGUUGAGUGGUCUCACCCCUAUUUUCCGUGCUUGGAUCUGUUGGGAUGUGAAUAAUUUCCUCAUCUUCAUCAUUAAUCGACAAUUGGGCUAACUCAUUCUCCAUACUUUGCAGGUAAAAGUUUUUUCAGCUUUUGUGGUUUCACAAUUCCUGUUGCAAGAGAAGGACUUACACAGGCCACAGAUAACAAAGGGGAAAGUAUUAAGGAAAAAACAAAUAAUGAAAAAACUUAAAAACUCUUGCUAGUGGCAGCAGACAAAGGUGUGCUAGGGUAGCAGACUUUUUUUACUUGUGAAUUUGAUAAUGUUUUAUAUUUCAUAUAAUGUUUUUAUAAUUUUUUUAACUUAUAUAACUAAUAUAUAAUAUGUUUUGAAAAUUUUAAAUUUAAUAAUUUUUAUAAUUUUUUAUUUAUUGAAUUUAUAUUUUUUAAAAUGGAUGCCACAUUAUUAAUCGUCAUGUAUAAAGGAAUACCACAUAAUGCAUUCUCAUUGGUUGGGUGUGUCACCUAUCAUUUUUAACACCAUUAACCUCUUUGAACUAAGAUUGUGUUUAGCAAUGCUUAAAAAAAACACUUUUGGCUUAAAAAGUACUUUUGGAAGAAAAUUUAUGUUAAACAAGUAACUUUUGGCCCAAAGGAGUGGCUUUUCAAAAACAUUUUUACUCAAAAGCUAAAUUUUUUAGCUUUUCUUGAGCCAAAAGCACUUCUUGAAACAUUAUUACUUUUUCAUCUCUCUAUUUUUCUUCCCUUAUUUUUCAUUCACUUUAAAUUACAAAUGCUAAUGUAAAUGUUUUAAUGUUUAUAUUUGGUAUAUAAAUAUUAUCCAUUUUUGAAACUUUAAUCUAAAUAUAUGUAAUAUUUUAAUUUGUUAGGUUUUUGUUUUCUAUGUUAUGUUAAUAUUUAAUAUGGGUUAUAUAUUCAAAUUACAUUUUAAAAUAAAAUCAUUAAUUAAAAAAAGUAUUUCUCGAAAUAAUACAAAUGUGUUAAUAUCUUUUUCUUUUUCUUUUUAUUGAAAGAUUAGGCUUUAUUGAUAAAAGAAAUAAAAAAAACAAUGGAAAAGAACUGGCCCAAUCUCAUCGAGCCCAAAACUAAAGAAGCAACAAAAAUCCAAAAACAAACAAAAAGAAACAAACUAGCCUAGCCAAAUAGGAAAAGACCAUCACAAUCCCCUUAAAUGUCGUUUCAAUAACUGAUGAUUUCCUAACCCCCAUUUUGCAGAUAUUUAGAAGUUACAAAAGAAGUUUUCAUCCUUUCUCCUUUCUCCAAGGUUGGAAAAAUUUGCUUCCGAUCCUCCUCAGUCCGACUCUCGCACCCAUUCAACUUCCAUUGUUCUCUUCGCAUAACUCGGGACAACAUCUUCCAAGUAAAAGCUCUCACCAGAUCUCAAACUCUCAUUUGCUAAAAGAUGGGCUAACUAAUUUUCAAAAUGAUUUGCAUGUUUAAGCCUAAUAAAAGUAAAACUGUUUAGCUUCUGUUUGAUGUUUCGGAUGUAGGUGUUUAUUUCAGAUCUAUCAUGUAUAUCGUUGUUGCAUUUCUUGAUGAUUGUAAAUGAGUCUCCCUUUAUAACUGCUUCUGUUAACCCUAUUUCUAAACUCGUUUGUAUUGCCCAUGAACACGCGAGCGCCUCGGUUGCAAAAAUUGUUCCAACAUCGACAUGUAGGAUCGAUCGAGAUACUAAAACUUUGCCUAGAGCAUUCUUAACUACAAUUCCCGAUCUUGAUCUAGAAUGAACCUAAUCAAAGGCCGUGUCAAAAUUUAUUUUAAUUCUCGCUCUUACAGGCGAUUCCCAUUUUCUUUCCUCACCUUUCCUCAUUGAUCUCCAAUUUUCUUAUGUAGGAAGAAAUAGAAUUGGCAAUCUCCCUACUUGUUUCACUGACUUUUUCGUGCACUUCUUGUUUCUCUCUGUCCACAGGCUUCAUAGUGCAACACAAAAUUCCUAGACAUUUUGGUAACCGAACAUUCUUUAACGACCCAGGUAAGCCAAUCAAAAAAUUCCUAGACAAAAUUUGACACCAUUACAUGAAACCCCAAUAACAUCCAGACUUCAAAUGUAACAGGGCAACCACGAAAGAUGUGGUCUAAAUUUUCAGUAGCAUUAUAACAUCUCGGGCAUAUCAUAUUUGACACGAUUCGUUUAUAGUGCAAAUUUCUAAAAGUAAGAAUAUAAUCUUUCAAGAUUCACCAUAUUGUAAUUUUAAUUUUAGUUGGAAGCUUUAAGCUCUAUAGUUUCCUAUAGAAAUCUCUAGCAUUGGUCUUAUCUCAUUUAAAUUAGGGGUAGAAAUACCAGUUUGUAAUAGUUUAUAGGCUCUUCGCACAGAAAAGUCCCCCGAAGGUUCACCUCUCCACAUCAUCACAUCUGCAUAAGGAGUACAAGCCAAAGGGAUUCUCAGUAUUCUACCUAUGUCAACACUCGAAAAGGUACCCAAAUUACAAUCCCUCAUCCAUUCUCUAAUUUCACUAUCACAUAAAUCAACAAGUAUAUAAUUAUCAUUUCUAACCUCAUUGCUUAAUUUAUAAUUAGCUGAACCGGGGAUCCAUGCAUGAUUAACAAUUGAAAUCCUAUCUCCCGUACCCACUCUCCAUCCAAUCCCAUUGCACAACACCUUCUUUGCUGACCAGAUACUUCUCCAAGUAUACAAUGCCUCAUGUCUUAAACUAGCAUUGUAAAAAUCAGAUUGAGGGUAAUACUUAGCUUUCAAAGCUCGUGGUACUAAAGAAUCGGGAUGAUUAAUAAGUCUCCACCCUUGUAUGGCUAAGAGAGCCACAUUAAAUUUCUCGAAACUUCUAAAUCCUAACCCCCUUCCUCUUUCAAAUUGCACAUUAUUCUCCAUCCGCACCAGUGAAUUCCCUUACGUCCAUGACCCUUCUUCCACGAAAAUCUUGCAACAAUACUUUCCAUUUCCCCACACAGAUUUCGACAAUAAGAAAUAUGCCAUACAGUAUGUCGGUAUGGCUUGUAAUACUGAAUUUAUAAAUACUUCAUUGCCCCAUUAGGAAAGAAAUCUCGUACUCUACCUGUCAAUUUUCCUUUUCAUCUGAUCCUUCAAGAUCUGAAAUGAAACUUUUUUAUUUCUUCCCACCACAUUAGGAAGGUCUAGGUAUCUUUUUGGAUUAUUUGAGUAUCAAACUCCCAAUUCCAUCACUAGUUGCAUCCUAACCAUUUCAGAAGUAUUUGCACUAUAAAAAAUCGUAGAUUUUUCAAAAUUCACACACUAACUUGAACAAACUUCAUACUCUUCCAAAACCUAUUUAAAUGCAUGUACACCCCUCUCUAAAGCCUCCCUAAAAAGAACACAAUCAUCUGUAAAUAGUAUAUGUGAAAUUUUAGGUCUAUUCCUACUCACCUUUGGUCCUUUUGUCAGGCCCUCUCCAACCACAAGUCUCAUGAGAGAAGAUAGUCUCUCACUGCAAAUAAGAAAUAGAAAAUGGACUUAAAGUUUCUCCUUGUCUUAAACCUCUAGAAGGUCGAAAAAACUCUCCCAUGAUCCCAUUAAUACUAAUAGAAUAGGAGAUCGUUGAGACACACUUUAUUACCAUAUCCACUUAGGCUUGUGCAAAACCCAUUUAUUCCAUCAUUGCCAUUAGAAAACCCCACUCAACUCGGUCAUAUACCUUGCUCAUGUUUAAUUUUAAAGCCAUAAAUCCCCUUCGUCUAAUUCGCUAAUUUCUAAAAGUAUGUAGUAUCUCAUAUGCAAGCAAUACAUUAUUUGAAAUCAAACGUCCUGACACAAAUACACUUUGAGCACUAUCAAUGCAAACAUUAAGAGUCUUUUGGAAUUGAUUGGCUACAAUUUUUGCAAUUAUCUUGUAUAAAACAUUACAUAAGCUGAUGAGUCUAAAAUUCGUCAUAUUAGUAGGAUGACGGAUUUUUGGUAUGAGAACAAUGUUUGUAACAUUCACAGGGUCAAGAUCCUUACCAUUAUUUAAAACAUCCAAACAAUAGAGGCUUACAUCUCGUCUCACAAUGUGCCAAUAUCAUUGAUAAAAUAAAGCUAGAAAGCCAUUCAAACUUGGUACCUUAGUUGGACCCAUAUCUUUCAAGGCCACAUAGACUUCUUCCUCCGUGUAUGUCCCUAUUAACAUCAAAUUUAAGUUAUCAGAAAUACACAUCCCCACCUCAGACAGAAUAUGAGUUAAUUCACCCAUUCCCUUUGUCGUAAAUAAAUCCUAAAAAAAACCCUUGCAGUUUUUGCCAUCUCCGCUUCCUCCCUAGUAACCCUUCCAUCUUCAUACUCCAAACGUUUAACCAUAUUCUUUUUCAUGCUAUUUGAGGUAUAAUUGUAGAAAAAAUUUAUGUUUCUAUCCCCUAACUUUAACUAAUUGACUCUCGCUCUUUGUUAUUAGAAAGCUUCAUCCUUAUCAAUCUCUCAGUUUAAAUGAACUAGUGUCAAUAAGGUCUACCAAAUUCUCAUCAUCCUGAUCUGAGGCUAACAGUUGCUUCAAUUUCCUAGUCAAAGAUUUUUUCAAACAAUGUUUUUUUUCCUUUAUCUCUCUUUCCCAACUUCCCAGUUCUACUUGAAUACUUUCAAUUUUAGUAAAUAUAUCUCAUUUGAUCGAUUCCUAAACUCAUUUUAUUUCUAUUUCGAAAGACUCUUUCAUUGUCCACCAUGCUUCAAAACGGAAUUUUUUAUUACCCUUAACAUUUCCACCUAUAUUAGUAUGAACUAAAAAUGGGCAAUGAUCAGAAAAAGAAUGGGGUAAGUGUUGAAUACUGGAAUUUGGAAAUCUAUCCAACCACCUAACAUUUGCCACACCUCUAUCCAAUCAUUCCUGAAUAUUUGUUUAUGGUAGAUUUCCUCUCUCCCAUGUAAACCAUAUCCCAGAAUAUCCUAUAUCCAGAAAGCGACAGUCCUCCAAAACUUCCCAAAAUGUCUCAAUUCUCUAUUCAUCCCUUAGAAUACCUCUCACUUUCUUAAAAGAAUACAUAAUUUCAUUAAAGUCCCCGCACACUAACCAUGGAAGAUUUUGGAAAUUCCCCAAAUUCUUAAAGACAUUCAACGGCUCGCUCAUAUUUCGAGCAAACAAAGAUCUAUAAAAACCUGUAAAUCUCCAAUCCCCUUUUUCCACAUCCCCUUUUAUCUCUACAUCUACAUGGUUCAUAGAGAAACUGCGUAAAGUGACAAUUAAAUCCUCUUUCCAUGCCAAACAUAGGCCUCCAUGAGAACCAUCAGCCCCCACCUCAAUCGCAUUAACAAAACCACAUCACGUCCUUACUGCUUCCAUUCUUCUACCAUCUAGUUUAGUCUCCAUAAAAAAGAUCAGUUGGGGAUUAGACAUAUUCAGUGCAUGUCGAAGUCUUUUGACAGCCCGUAUCUCCUCAACCCACGGACGUUCUGUAAUGACCCAAAAUUCACGGGCAUCAGAAAAGUGCAAUAUUGGGCCUCCAUCUUAGUGAAAUGGGUUCGUAAAUAAUUAUUAGAAAUAUUUAUGAGACUAGUGGUGUGCCUAAUUAGGUUCUAAUUAGGUGAAUUUAUCUUAAUUAAGAGUAAUUAGGAAAAAAUGACUAAAGUGAAUAAAAGGUAAAAGUUGAAUUGUAGAUUAAAAGAAAAUAAAAAGGACCAAAAUGGUAAAUAAGCUAUUUAGCAUAAGUUGAGGCGGCAAACAAAGAUUUUUGUUUUGUUUAAUUAAUCUAAAAAAAUAAAUUAGUUAUAAAUUUAAUUAUGUUAAAUUAUAAUAAUUAUAUUAUAAUUAAUAAAAUAAGGACAAGUGUAUGGCGAUGAUAAAACACAUGUGUAAUAAAUAUAUGUAAACAUUUGUAGUAUAAUUAUUUAUUUACUUAUAUUUUAAACUAAAGAUAUUUAUUAUUAAAUUAAUCUAUUAUAAAUAUCAUAUUAUGAAUUGAAUUAAAUUAAAGCCAAGUGUACAGUGAUAAAAAUAUACAAAUGUAAUAAUAGUAUUCAUACAUUUGUAAUAUAUUUAUUUAAUUACUUUAUAAGUAAAUAGAUAUUUAUUAUAUUAUAUUAUUAUCAUUAUUAUUUUUAAAUAAUAUAUAUAAUGAAGUAAAAAAAGAAAAGAAAAGAAAAGAAAGAAAUAAAACAAAGAAGAAAAGAAACAGAGAGCAAUUCGAAAUAGGGGAAAAGAAAGAAGAAAAGAAAAAGAAAAGGAAAAACUAGGGUUUUGAAGCUUAAAGCUUUAAUUGGUAAGUCAAUUAAGUCAUUUUUACUUAAUUUUGAUGUUUCAGAAGCUUUGGAACAAAGUUUUGUUGAAAUCAAGUUGAAAUUUUGGAAAUUCUUAGGUUUUUGAAUAUAGUUCAUGUUGAACAAAUUGAUGAAUUAGGGGUUUAAUUGAUAGAAAUUUUAGUUAGAAUUGAUUAAAGGAUUAAAUUGUAAAGCUAUAAGUUUUGCAUAGUAGGGACUAAAUUGCAAGAAUUUCGAAAUUAGGUAUUUAUGAUGAAAUUUAGAUAGUUAUGUCUAAGUUUGGUUGAAAACUGAGUAGAAAUAAAGUAUGAAUUAAGAUAGGAAAGUAAGUGAAUUUACUUAGGACCAAAUUGAAUUUACGGUAGAAAUUGAAUAGAAAUGGAAUAGGAAAAUUUAAAUAUUAGACAUAAAUUAAUAUUGUAUUAAUGAUUAUGAAAAUUAUCCUAAUUUUUCGUAGCUAAUAUCGCACCCGAGGUAUCCACGAAGAAAGGAAAAAAAAAGUGGACGAGGAGUAGACACGAGAAUCACGGUUUGUAUUAUUAUAAUUCAAAUUUAAUUAUUAUUAAUUAUUGUGUUUUAAUUGAAAUGCAUGGUAAAUAAAUAAGGUAAGAAAUUUGGUAUGAUAAUAUUAUUUUAAAUGGAGUUGAUUUCAAGUGAAUAUGAUUAUUGAAAUUAAGUAUUGAUAUUGAAUUGAAUGAAAUUAGAUUGAAUUGUGAUUAUAUGUGAGUAAUUGAGAUGAAUAUUGAAUUAAGAAAGUGAAAUUGAAAUGUGAUUAUUGAAUAGAAAUUGAAAUGGUUUGAAUUGAAUUAUUGAACUAUUGUGGUAUUGAACUGGAAUAUUGAAAUUGGUGACUGAUAUGGAUUUUAUUGGAAUUGAAUUGAGAAAGUGGAAAUUGAUAUGUGAUGUUGAUGUUGGAAGUGAAUUUGCUUAUCGAAAUUGAAUGAAAUAUCGAUUGAAAUGUGAAUUUGAAGCAAAUGGAAAAUAUGAGAUAUUGUGGUUGAAAUGGCAUUAAUUGAAAUUGAAUUGAGAAAUAUAUAUAUUGAAUACCCUAUUAACUAGUCGGGCUGAGUCGGAUAUAGUUGGCAUGCCAUAGGAUUUGGAAGAGUACGGGAUUUAUCAACUUUGCCGAUCAGGCAUUUUAUGUGUCGUAUAUCAGGAACUUUAUGUGUCGUAUUUUAGGCACCUCAUGUGUCGUUUCAGACACUUAUGUGUCGUAUAUUGAUCAGGUACUAUGUACCGUUUUAGGCAUAAUGUGCCGUAAUGGUGUGUUUGGUUGGAUCCAUGUAUCCGCCAAAGUUCGAGUCAUGUUAAUAGGGGAAAAAUAAAAGAAUUGAAGUAAGAAAUGAUAUUGAAUUAUGAAUUAUGUGAAUAUUUGAAGGUAUAUUGAUUGGAAAUUAAAAGCGAUUUGAAUUGAACUAAAUUGAUUUGAAAUGAGACAUUGAAUUGAGAUGUGAAAAUGAAAUAUAUGAAAUAAUGAUUUUAUGAAAUGGUUAUUGAUGAAAUGCAUGAAAUGGAUAUUGAUAUAG
This 12984-nucleotide long non-coding RNA is filed under the name Gossypium barbadense (sea-island cotton). RNAcentral describes it as "long non-coding RNA (GBAR_LNC015411)". The record is from RNAcentral. Lineage: Eukaryota; Viridiplantae; Streptophyta; Magnoliopsida; Malvales; Malvaceae.